AGCGAACGCUGGCGGCAGGCCUAACACAUGCAAGUCGAACGAACUCUUCGGAGUUAGUGGCGGACGGGUGAGUAACACGUGGGAACGUGCCUUUUGGUUCGGAAUAACUCAGGGAAACUUGUGCUAAUACCGAAUGUGCUCUUCGGGGGAAAGAUUUAUCGCCAUUAGAGCGGCCCGCGUCUGAUUAGCUAGUUGGUGAGGUAACGGCUCACCAAGGCGACGAUCAGUAGCUGGUCUGAGAGGAUGACCAGCCACACUGGGACUGAGACACGGCCCAGACUCCUACGGGAGGCAGCAGUGGGGAAUCUUGCGCAAUGGGCGAAAGCCUGACGCAGCCAGGCCGCGUGAAUGAUGAAGGUCUUAGGAUUGUAAAAUUCUUUCACCGGGGACGAUAAUGACGGUACCCGGAGAAGAAGCCCCGGCUAACUUCGUG
RNAcentral lists this ribosomal RNA (433 nucleotides) under uncultured bacterium. Its description in RNAcentral is "partial 16S ribosomal RNA". It matches the Rfam family "Bacterial small subunit ribosomal RNA", at positions 29 to 507 of the family's 1533-position model. The record is from RNAcentral.